This 1240-nucleotide long non-coding RNA is filed under the name Homo sapiens (human). RNAcentral's name for it is "HSALNT0379634". The record is from RNAcentral. Lineage: Eukaryota; Metazoa; Chordata; Mammalia; Primates; Hominidae.
GUCGGCGAUCGGAGAUGCCAGGGGGCAGCUGGGACGUGGGCGGUCUGGAGAGGCGCGGGGGCAGCUGAGAUGCAGGUGGUCCGGGACGCGCGGGGGCUGGCGGGUUGUGGGCGGUCCAGGGAUGCGAGGGGGCAGCUGGGACGUGGGAGUUCCGGGGACGCGUGGGGUCGCCAGGAAGCGGGGUCUAGGACUUAGAUCCGCUUUCUCUUCAGGCCAUGCAGCCCCGAAGCUCCGAAUCCUGGGAUGACUCCUGUCCAUGUUGGAAGGGACCCUGCCAGUCCUGGCAAGGUUCAAAGGCCUUAGGGCAAGAAAUGUUAGUAGAGUCCUGGAAGACGAUGUGGGGAACGGGUAGCGGCCACCGGAUGGUGAUCGUUCUUCUACAAGACCUUGACAUGGAUGGGGAGAAACAGAGAAGAACCUUCCAAGUUUGUCCCACUGGACAUGCCCACCACACUUUACCAGCCCUUUCUAGAAGGCCUGUGCGUAACACAUGAAAAAGCUCCGCUCGACCUUUCCCUGACCUUUUAAAAGAAAACAUUUGCUGCAUCUAAUCCGCCUAGAUAUAAGGAGGUUCCCAAAUGUAUGACAGAGUCAGAAAAUUACAUGUCUUGUAAGUUACCAUGUGCUUGUCUUUUGUUUUCCGUUUUUUUUCGUUUUUUUGUUUUUUGUUUUUGAGACGGAGUCUCACUCUGUCGCCCAGGCUGGAGUGCAGUGGCAGGAUCUUGGCUCACUGCAACCUCUGCUUCCUGAGUUUCAACAAUUGUGCUGCCUCAGCCUCCCGAGUAGCUUGGAUUACAAGUGUGCACCACCACGCCUGGCUAAUUUUUGUAGUUUUUAGUAGAGAUGGGGUUUUGCCACGUUGGCCAGGCUGGUCUUGAACUCCUGACCUCAGGUGAGCCACCCACCUUGGCCUCUCAAAGUGCUGGGAUUACAGGUGUGAGCCACCGUGCCUGGCCGUAAGUUACCAUGUGCUUUUUAAAAAAAUCAUAGCAAAGGGGUGUCUUCUGGAAAUGACAUUUUGAAAUGGUGUUAUUAGACCACCCCUGGAAGGGACACAGUAACCACACGUCCACGUUCGUUCAGUGGGUGAGAGGACAUGGAGGGGAGACCUGGGCAGGAAGGGAAGAGGGUUCCAUGCCAGGCUGCUCAUAUUUAGAAGACAUUUUCAUAUCAUUGUCAUUGUUUUCUUGUGUGCGUUUUAUUCCUCGCUAUUGUAUACAUCAUUGGAAAUUCUAAGUAU